UACGGAGGAGGCAAGCGUUAUCCGGAAUUAUUGGGCGUAAAGCGUCCGUAGGUGGCUAGUCAAGUCUGCGGUCAAAGACUGGGGCUUAACCCUGGAAAGGCCGUGGAAACUGACGAGCUAGAGUGCAGUAGGGGUAGAGGGAAUUCCCGGUGUAGCGGUGAAAUGCGUAGAGCUCGGGAGGAACAUCGGUGGCGAAAGCGCUCUACUGGACUGCAACUGACACUCAGGGACGAAAGCUAGGGGAGCGAAUGGG
RNAcentral lists this ribosomal RNA (253 nucleotides) under uncultured bacterium. Its description in RNAcentral is "partial 16S ribosomal RNA". It matches the Rfam family "Bacterial small subunit ribosomal RNA", at positions 524 to 776 of the family's 1533-position model. The record is from RNAcentral.